GUUAGAGUGCUAGAUUGUGAUUCUAGAUGACAUGGGUUCAAAUCCCAUUAUUCGCCUUUUAAUUGAAUCUUUUUAAUACAUUAAAUGGAUACCUCAACGUUAAUAAUAUAAAGAACGUUUGUAAAACGAAAUGUUAUAGCGAAUAAUUUUCGUCUAUACUUUUUCUAAUCAUAAAGGAGUUUUAAAAAAUUUAAACAAAUUUUGAUUGAAAAACAAUUGAAAUUUUUUCAAGCUAGUAAACUGAACCAUCUAAGUAACUAGACAAAAAAUCAACCGAGAGACUGUGAGUAGUGGCGAGCAAAAGCGGUAUAGAUUAUACUUAAAAGUUAAAAAUAAUAUGUUUAAGUACCACAAACCAUAGAAGGUAGCAUAAACUUAAAAGCAUGCAGUCCUGUAAAACAUAUUUUAAACUUUGAAGUUAUAAAGUAAGAUGACACAUGUCAUGUGUUAUCUAAAUAUUGGGGGACCACCCUCAAAGUCUAUAAAAUAUUAACGAUUGAUAGCGAAAAAGUACCGUAAGGGAAAGGUGAAAAAGAUCUGAAAAGAACUUGAAAUUUAAUGUUUAUAAUCCGUUGUAACUUAUUUUAAAAGUGACAGCGUUCCUUUUGCAUAAUGAAUCAAUGAGUUUAUAUCAAUGGCAAGCUUAAACAGUGAAAAGUGUAGGCUAAAAAAAACUAAGUUUUAAAUUGCGCUUAAAUAAUUAGUCUUUGAUAUAAGACCCGAAACUAAGUGAUCUAACCAUGAGCAGGCUGAAUUUAAAGCGUUACCGCUUAUUGAAGGGCCGAACUCGUGUAUGUCGAAAAAUACUGAGAUGACUUGUGGUUAGGGGUGAAAGGCCAAUCAAACUUAGAGAUAGCUGGUUUUCUGCGAAAUCUAUUUAAGUAGAGCGUUUAAAAUUCUUUAUUUUAAGGUAGAGCACUCGAUAAAUAAAGGGGACGUAAAGUUUUACUGCAUUUAAUGAAACUCCAAAUAUAAAAUUAAAAAGAUUUUAAACAGACAGACUAUGAGUGCUAAGAUUCAUAGUCAAAAGGGAAACAGCCCACAUUAUUUGUUAAGGCCCUCAAAAGUAAUUAAGUGAAAAAGAAAGUAAAAAAAUGUUAAUAGCUUAUAGGUAGGCUUGGAAGCAGCCAUCUUUUCAAGAAAGCGUAACAACUCAUUAGUUUAGCUUUUUAGCAUCGAAAAUGUAUAGGGACUAAAAUUACUUGCCGAAACAAUAAAUUUAAACCAGACUAAUUUAUAAAUUAGUCUGGUUUAAAUGGUAGCAGAACGUUUUGUAUUUUCGAGAAGAUUUAUAGUUAUAUAAAUUGAAAAAAUCAAAAAUGAAAAUAUUGAUAUGAGUAGCGAAAAACGGUUAAGUGAUAACAAACUGCGUCACCUUAAGUUCAAGGUUUAUAAGGAAAGGCUAAUCCUCCUUAAUGUUAAUCGGUCCCUAAGAUAACAACGAAAGUUCUAAUUGAUGGGUAAUAAUUUUUUAUUAUAUUUUAAAGUGACAAAAUACAAGCUUAAUUUUUAAUGAUUAUUAAGAGUUUUUAAGUAUUUUCAGGAAAUAGCUUAAAAUAAUACCGUACUCUAAACCGACACAGGUGAACAUAUUUAGUAAAUUAAGGUGCUUGAGUUAAUUGUAUUGAAGGAACUCGGCAAAAUGACUCCGUAACUUCGGGAUAAGGAGUAGCUUUUUUAGGUUUAAACCUAAAAAAGCUGUCACAAAAUCGAGGACAGCGACUGUUUAAUAAAAACACAGGUCUCUGCGAAUUUGAAAAAAGAAGUAUAGAGACUGACGCCUGCCCGGUGCUGCAAGCUUAAUAGAAGAAGUUUUGGCUUCGACUUUAACCCCCAGUAAACGGCGGCUGUAACUCUGACGGUCCAAAGGUAGCGAAAUUCCUUGGCAUUUAAUUGGUGUCCUGCAUGAAUGGCGUAACGACUGUCCUACUGUCUCCAACACAAUCUCAGUGAAAUUGAAAUGUCUGUGAAGAUGCAGACUACUUGCGGCUAGACGGAAAGACCCUGUGCACCUUUACUAUAGUUA
Molecule: ribosomal RNA, 2026 nt
Filed under: marine metagenome
Description: bacterial LSU rRNA
Rfam family: Bacterial large subunit ribosomal RNA
Source: RNAcentral